GCCAAGUGAUGAUAAAUGAAAUCUUAGGUGACUGCAGGCAAAUCACAAAACCAGAGUUACCUAGAGAUCAUUGUCUGAAAUCUUGAUGUUUGUGUCGAGAAUCACGCAGACAUUGUAAGGCCGGACAUACAACAUGUUGCAUUGGUAACUCUUCUGUUAUUAGCUGUCUUGCAUUGCUUUAGCACUGUAGCAUGGAAGAUACGUGAAGAGUGGCCACAGUCCUGGGGUAGACUAUAUUUUACUGGGAGAGGUGUAGGCCAAGGGUGGAUUAGGCCCAAUGGGAUGGGUUAGGUCAUUGGGCUUUGGGUGGGAGGGAAUUGCAAAGGUGCCUUGCAGUUGCUAAUGAUGGUUUCUUUAGUAAUCUGAUGGCA
Small nucleolar RNA from Pomacea canaliculata, 371 nucleotides. NCBI's taxonomy places the organism in Eukaryota, Metazoa, Mollusca, Gastropoda, Architaenioglossa, Ampullariidae. The record is from RefSeq and is a predicted model, not a curated record.